ACAAAAAUGCACAUGCUGUGAGCUCGAUGAGUAGGGCGGGACACGUGGUAUCCUGUCUGAAUAUGGGGGGACCAUCCUCCAAGGCUAAAUACUCCUGACUGACCGAUAGUGAACCAGUACCGUGAGGGAAAGGCGAAAAGAACCCCGGCGAGGGGAGUGAAAAAGAACCUGAAACCGUGUACGUACAAGCAGUGGGAGCACAGAGCAAUCUGUGUGACUGCGUACCUUUUGUAUAAUGGGUCAGCGACUUAUAUUCUGUAGCAAGGUUAACCGAAUAGGGGAGCCGAAGGGAAACCGAGUCUUAACUGGGCGUUAAGUUGCAGGGUAUAGACCCGAAACCCGGUGAUCUAGCCAUGGGCAGGUUGAAGGUUGGGUAACACUAACUGGAGGACCGAACCGACUAAUGUUGAAAAAUUAGCGGAUGACUUGUGGCUGGGGGUGAAAGGCCAAUCAAACCGGGAGAUAGCUGGUUCUCCCCGAAAGCUAUUUAGGUAGCGCCUCGUGAAUUCAUCUCCGGGGGUAGAGCACUGUUUCGGCAAGGGGGUCAUCCCGACUUACCAACCCGAUGCAAACUGCGAAUACCGGAGAAUGUUAUCACGGGAGACACACGGCGGGUGCUAACGUCCGUCGUGAAGAGGGAAACAACCCAGACCGCCAGCUAAGGUCCCAAAGUCAUGGUUAAGUGGGAAACGAUGUGGGAAGGCCCAGACAGCCAGGAUGUUGGCUUAGAAGCAGCCAUCAUUUAAAGAAAGCGUAAUAGCUCACUGGUCGAGUCGGCCUGCGCGGAAGAUGUAACGGGGCUAAACCAUGCACCGAAGCUGCGGCAGCGACGCUUAUGCGUUGUUGGGUAGGGGAGCGUUCUGUAAGCCUGCGAAGGUGUGCUGUGAGGCAUGCUGGAGGUAUCAGAAGUGCGAAUGCUGACAUAAGUAACGAUAAAGCGGGUGAAAAGCCCGCUCGCCGGAAGACCAAGGGUUCCUGUCCAACGUUAAUCGGGGCAGGGUGAGUCGACCCCUAAGGCGAGGCCGAAAGGCGUAGUCGAUGGGAAACAGGUUAAUAUUCCUGUACUUGGUGUUACUGCGAAGGGGGGACGGAGAAGGCUAUGUUGGCCGGGCGACGGUUGUCCCGGUUUAAGCGUGUAGGCUGGUUUUCCAGGCAAAUCCGGAAAAUCAAGGCUGAGGCGUGAUGACGAGGCACUACGGUGCUGAAGCAACAAAUGCCCUGCUUCCAGGAAAAGCCUCUAAGCAUCAGGUAACAUCAAAUCGUACCCCAAACCGACACAGGUGGUCAGGUAGAGAAUACCAAGGCGCUUGAGAGAACUCGGGUGAAGGAACUAGGCAAAAUGGUGCCGUAACUUCGGGAGAAGGCACGCUGAUAUGUAGGUGAAGUCCCUUGCGGAUGGAGCUGAAAUCAGUCGAAGAUACCAGCUGGCUGCAACUGUUUAUUAAAAACACAGCACUGUGCAAACACGAAAGUGGACGUAUACGGUGUGACGCCUGCCCGGUGCCGGAAGGUUAAUUGAUGGGGUUAGCGCAAGCGAAG
This 1539-nucleotide ribosomal RNA is filed under the name Escherichia coli. RNAcentral's name for it is "partial 23S ribosomal RNA". It matches the Rfam family "Bacterial large subunit ribosomal RNA", at positions 379 to 1904 of the family's 2925-position model. The record is from RNAcentral. Lineage: Bacteria; Pseudomonadati; Pseudomonadota; Gammaproteobacteria; Enterobacterales; Enterobacteriaceae.